This 505-nucleotide ribosomal RNA is filed under the name uncultured bacterium. RNAcentral describes it as "partial 16S ribosomal RNA". It matches the Rfam family "Bacterial small subunit ribosomal RNA", at positions 28 to 507 of the family's 1533-position model. The record is from RNAcentral.
GACGAACGCUGGCGGCGUGCCUAAUACAUGCAAGUAGAACGCACAGUUUAUACCGUAGCUUGCUACACCAUAGACUGUGAGUUGCGAACGGGUGAGUAACGCGUAGGUAACCUGCCUGGUAGCGGGGGAUAACUAUUGGAAACGAUAGCUAAUACCGCAUAAUAUUAAUUAUUGCAUGAUAAUUAAUUGAAAGGUGCAAUUGCACCACUACCAGAUGGACCUGCGUUGUAUUAGCUAGUAGGUGAGGUAACGGCUCACCUAGGCGACGAUACAUAGCCGACCUGAGAGGGUGAUCGGCCACACUGGGACUGAGACACGGCCCAGACUCCUACGGGAGGCAGCAGUAGGGAAUCUUCGGCAAUGGACGAAAGUCUGACCGAGCAACGCCGCGUGAGUGAAGAAGGUUUUCGGAUCGUAAAGCUCUGUUGUAAGAGAAGAACGGGUGUGAGAGUGGAAAGUUCACACUGUGACAGUAUCUUACCAGAAAGGGGCGGCUAACUACGUG